AAGAUGAAUACCUUUUUCAGGUAUGAUAAGCAUCAAACGUUUAACUUCAACUCUCUUAGACGGUUUAGGCACAAUGUCAUUUAGCCUUGCGUCUGGGUGUUCUAACUUAGAUGUUUUUCUAUUUCCUAAGACCUAAGCGUUUUCUUAAGCUUUUCUAUGUUGGGGAUUCACAUUGUAGGUUUCCUAUUACCUCUUUCUAAAACAUAUACCAACUAAUUAACACCUUUAACAAAUCAUAAUUCACAUCUAAAGUAGACUCUAAAACUAAAUUUAAUCUAUUUAACCCUUAGCUCAAAAACUGACAUAUCAAAACUCCCUUUUUAAAGUCAAAAUGACUAACAAUUCAAUAUAUAAUUUGUUUCCUCUAAGUUAUAUCAAUUUCAUACCAUCAACCAUUACAACUUCAACCAAACACAAGACUAUAAUCACCUUUUACUAGAUUCAUACAACCACUUUCAUUCAAUCGCAUAUACAUAUCAAAAUAUAACACACAAUUAAAUCAUCAAAAUUAACAUACAUUCAACUUCCAUCUAUUAAUUUCCAAAACAUACUUUGCAACUCAAAUUAAAAGAACACACUAGCUUUUCUUACCUUAAAGAGAACUAUCACAUAUCAACCGUGGUCACCAAACCUUACUUAAAGCUUAAGAAAUCUUAAGAACGUCUACAAAACACAGAAAGGAGAUUAGAGAGAGUCCUUAGAACCUCUGAUCAACAAGGAACCACGAAAAGAGACUAAAACGCACAUGUGACGAGGAAUCAUUAUGCAUGACCUCAACCUAAGAACGAAAGAAAAAAGAAGUUGAAACUUACUUGCUCAUAACAAGAAACUAAUCGGAUAGAAACAUAAAUCUUACUGUUGUGGUCAUUUACUCACCUCCUCAUCGUAAAAAUAUUACUUUGGAAUUAGAAAAGGUAGAGAGAAGGGAAAGAGAACUCNAAAACAGAGUUUUAGAGAGAAGACGAGUGUUUCAAAUAAUGAAACAAAUUUAAAAAAUUAUAUUUAUAUUAUUAAAUUAUNUCAAAAUUAAAAUAAUCGGUCUCUUUAUUUUAAAACACCUAUCUAGUAUUCGCCAUGGCCUCCAAUACCCACCAUCUUCAUCUGAGACUUCCAUAAUCUUAGGGCAGCACCUUCGUUCCUCUCACACAACCACAAUCAUUAUCANCCUUCAUAAUUCUUCACCAAACCAAAUUCAACCCCGAGAUUCACCUCACACACUCAUUUUUCUCUCNAUCACAGAAAAAACGAAAUUAGAACCCCCAGCUCAUCCAUCUUCAUUCAUGGAAUUCUUCCAUCUCCAACACCUCACAAUCACAGCUUCAAGAGCAACACCUCGGCCAUUCCGGAUCCACCAUCAUUAUUUCAUCAUCACCUCCUAAAAACCAAAGAAAACCAUCAUCAUCCACUACACCUAGCCUCCUU
This 1422-nucleotide long non-coding RNA is filed under the name Vigna radiata. RNAcentral describes it as "long non-coding RNA (VRAD_LNC008993)". The record is from RNAcentral. Lineage: Eukaryota; Viridiplantae; Streptophyta; Magnoliopsida; Fabales; Fabaceae.